RNAcentral lists this unclassified non-coding RNA (205 nucleotides) under Hevea brasiliensis (rubber tree). The record is from RNAcentral. Lineage: Eukaryota; Viridiplantae; Streptophyta; Magnoliopsida; Malpighiales; Euphorbiaceae.
UCAACUUCAACUUUUAUGAGGUAUUAAAUUUUCAAAUAUUAACUGUUACUUUUGAUUCCUUGGAAAUCUAUCAUCCACGCAACUAAUGAUGGAUAAUUUUCUUAUGCAAGCCAUACCAGAAUUUACUGUAACUAUUGCAGCAACAGCUAAAGCAUAGACAAUUCCCUGUGCUAAAUAACACCCAACUUCAAAAACAAAUCAUGGC